UACGGAGGGUGCGAGCGUUGUCCGGAAUCAUUGGGCGUAAAGGGCGCGUAGGUGGCCCGGUCAGUCUUUGGUGAAAGCGCGGGGCUCAACCCUGCGUCGGCCAGGGAUACUGCCGCGGCUCGAGCACUGUAGAGGCAGGCGGAAUUCCGGGUGUAGCGGUGGAAUGCGUAGAGAUCCGGAAGAACACCGGUGGCGAAAGCGGCUCUCUGGAACGGUACUGACGCUGAGACGCGAAAGCGUGGGGAGCGAACAGG
RNAcentral lists this ribosomal RNA (254 nucleotides) under uncultured bacterium. RNAcentral describes it as "partial 16S ribosomal RNA". It matches the Rfam family "Bacterial small subunit ribosomal RNA", at positions 524 to 776 of the family's 1533-position model. The record is from RNAcentral.